AAAACACCAUUCUAGUGCCUAGAAAACAUAAUCACCACUCCACCUUCUUCCACCCUCUUUGCCUAGUUCUCCACCACCUUCCAACCAUCAAACACUCUUCCACACUCACCCUAAACCCCUCCAUAUCAUUCCCCAUCCAUUCUACACCAUAAAUCCACCCAAAAAUCUGUCCACAAGCUUCAUGCCGCAACAAGGAGGAAGGAAGAUCCAUUGAUGCACUUGCUUUCCAAGUUGGAGCAUUUUAGGUGUUUUCUUACCUUUGAUUUUAAUGUCUAAUUUUAUGUAUCUUUGUAUUGCAAGAAUGAGGAACUAAACCCCCUUAGUUGGGGGGUGAUUUGAAAACCAUGUACAUGCUUGCAAUAUGAUUUGAUUACAUUCAGUUGUUAUUUCAUAAGUUGCGGAUUCAAUUCGUUCAUCUACUUGAUUGAUAACUUUAUUUGUGUAUGUUGAUUGAGAGUGCACGCUUAGUUUUCAUGCAUGAAUAUGAUGCUAGAUUAUGAGGGAGUUUCACCUAAUAGUUACAAUCUUUAUAAUUACAAGUAGUGAAGGUCGCUUGAAAACGAUCGCGUUGAAUGAAUUCUUGGCACUAGUUUCAUGCUCAUCAUAGUAACGAAUGCCUCGUCAACACUUAUAGUUCUCAUUGUGCUUCAUGAUUCUUGAUUGUAUCUUUAUUGUGCUCAUCACGUAAGGAACCUUUGAGGAAUGCUUUGAAUUGUUGUAUGCGCUUUUCCAUCCAAUUCAUUAACUUAAGGAGAACUUGAAGGUUAAUUUAAGCGUAUCUAAUUAACUUGGGGUGUUGAGUUUCAUAAUUUAUUGAAAGAACAACUGAAAAUCAUUUUGUUUGCAAGUGUGUCAUGUGUGGAGAAGAACCUCCUAACUAGCCUUUUAUCCAUCCUUUUCAUCCAAAAACGUUUUUACAAUCUGUUUUGUUUUAAAGUUUCUGUUUUGUUUUCAAUUUUCGUCCAAAACAAAUCCCCCUUUAUUUUGAAGUCUUAGAUUAGUUAGAAAGUGUUUUGAUUUGUGUUUCUAAGUGUUUUGAUUCAAGUUUUCAUCCAACUUCGUCCAAGUUCUUGUUAGGUUCUCAAAACUGCCCAGAAAGUGGUUUUUAGGCAGUUUUGAGUCAUUAGGUUGCUGUUUUGAGUUUUAUGUUUGUUUAAGUAUUUUAAAGUAUAGUUUUGCAUUCUUUGAGUCUAGUUUAGUGUUUUAAAUUUUGUUUUUAUGUUUUUAAGUCAGUUUUCAAGUGUUUAGCAAUCCCUCCUAAUCCCCGGCCUAGAACGAUCCCUACUUACAUACUUUACUACAAUUGAUAAAAAGAGGGUUUAAUUUUGUGUGUUAACUUAUUUUACGCAUCAAAUUUUGGCGCGCAGGGGCAUUGCACAAACCAAAUGGCAUGCGCCUGUAUGCAAAGGUGCCAAAGGGGCACGUGAACGUUGUCUUUUCUUGGUCCUCCGGAGCUAUCACAAUUUGGUUAUAUCCGGAAUAUCCAUCAAGAAAGCAAUAAAAUUUAUAACCGGCUAACCUUUCUAACAUUUGGUCCAGGAAUGGCAACGGAAAGUGAUCCUUCCUUGUCAUGGCAUUUAACUUCCUGUAAUCAAUACAAACACGCCAACCAGUCACCACACGAGUGGGUACAAGCUCUUGUUCUUCAUUCUUCACCACCGUGAUCCCGGACUUCUUUGGAACAACCUGCACGGGAGACACCCAACGACUAUCAGAAAUAGGGUAUAUAACACCACAGUCAAGCAAUUUUAUAACCUCCUUCUUUACUACUUCCAACAUGGGUGGAUUAAGGCGACGUUGAGCCUCCCGAGAUGGCUUAGCUCCCUCCUCCAAAAGGAUGCGAUGCAUGGUGAGUAUCUUUUCUGAUUAUGUGGAGAAAAUUAUUGAGAUAUUCAUGGAUGAUUUCAGCGUGUUUGGUAAUUCAUUCGAUCAUUGCUUGAGUAAUCUGACCUUAAUUUUGAAACGUUGUGUUGAAACGAAUCUUGUGCUUAAUUGGGAAAAAUGUCACUUCAUGGUUAAGCAAGGUAUUGUUCUAGGACAUAUUAUUUCUGAAGAAGGCAUUGAAGUGGAUAAAUCUAAGGUAGACCUUGUUCGUCACUUACCCUCUCCAACUUCGGUUAGAGAGGUUCGUUCGUUUCUUGGUCACGCAGGUUUUUAUAGGCGUUUCAUAAAGGAUUUCUCCAAGAUUUCACAACCACUAUGCCGAUUGCUUCAAAAAGAGGUGGCUUUCGAGUUUGAUGAUGCAUGCUCCACGGCAUUCAAGCAAUUAAAAGAAGCUCUUACUUCGGCUCCCAUUAUCACACCUCCAGAUUGGAGCCUUCCAUUCGAGUUGAUGUGCGAUGCUUCGGAUUAUGCGAUUGGUGCUGUUUUGGGGCAACGAAAGAACAAACAACCUCAUGUUAUUUAUUAUGCCUCUAGGACACUAAAUGAUGCUCAAUUAAAUUACUCCACCACUGAAAAAGAAUUACUUGCUGUGGUAUUUGCAUUAGAUAAGUUCCGAUCAUACUUACUUGGUACUAAAGUUAUUAUUUUUACUGAUCAUGCAGCUCUCAAGUAUUUACUCACAAAAAAGGAGGCCAAGCCUAGACUAAUUCGAUGGAUGUUGCUUCUACAAGAGUUUGACAUUGAGAUUCGGGAUAAGAAGGGCGUGGAGAAUGUGGUGGCUGACCACCUAAGUCGAAUGGUGCAUGAGGAAGCAUCGCCAAUUUCUGAAACCUUCCCCGAUGAGCAACUAAUGUCUAUCCAGGUAAGUGAGCCUUGGUACGCGGAUUUGGUGAAUUAUUUGGUGACUAAACAAGUUCCUAGCACCCUAAACAAAUUCCAACGUGAUAAACUUAAAAAGGAUGCUAGAUUUUAUGUUUGGGAUGACCCAUACUUGUGGAAAUAUUGUUCAGAUCAGGUUAUAAGAAGAUGUGUGCAUGAAUCAGAUUUUCACUCAAUUUUUAAGUUUUUGUCACACAUAUGCAUGUGGGGGUCACUUUGGCACCCAAAGGACAGCUUUUUAAGGUUCUUGAAUGUGGUUUUUAUUGGCCUACUUUGUUUAAAGAUGCUAGAACCUUCUGUUUAACAUGUGAUCGCUGCCAAAGGACAGGUAAUAUUAGCCAAAAAGAUCAAAUGCCGCAGGUACCCAUCUUUGUUGUUGAAAUCUUUGAUGUUUGGGGUAUCGAUUUUAUGGGUCCUUUUCCUUCAUCUUUUGGUUUCACCUACAUAUUACUUGCCGUUGAUUAUGUUUCAAAGUGGGUGGAAGCGAAAGCCACUCGAACUAACGAUUCUAAAGUUGUGGCAGAUUUUGUGAAAACUAAUAUCUUUUCUAGAUUUGGGAUGCCUAGGGUGCUAAUCAGUGAUGGAGGGUCUCAUUUUUGCAACCGUACCAUUGGGGCAUUACUCAAGAAGUAUCAUGUGACGCAUAAGGUUUCCACACCUUACCACCCCCAAACCAAUGGCCAAGCCGAGGUAUCUAAUCGUGAGAUCAAACAGAUUUUUGGAGAAGACCGUUGGGCCAAAUAGAAAAGAUUGGAGCUUACGGCUGGAUGAUGCACUAUGGGCGUAUCGAACGGCUUACAAGACCCCCAUUGGUAUGUCUCCUUUUCGACUUGUGUAUGGCAAGCCUUGCCAUCUUCCCGUGGAAUUAGAACAUAGAGCUCAUUGGGCCAUCAAGACCUUCAAUUUGAAUGUGGACCAAGCUGGAAUUCAUCGAAAGCUUCAAUUGAGUGAACUUGAUGAGAUAAGGCAUGAAGCUUAUGAGAAUGCUAGAAUUUACAAAGAGAAGACCACGGCAUUCCAUGAUAAGAUGCUUCGAGGCAAGACUUUCGAAAUUGGGCAGAAAGUGUUGUUGUUCAACUCCCGCCUUCGUCUAUUCCCUGGUAAGUUACGUUCCAAAUGGGUUGGCCCGUUUGUUGUUACUAAUCUUUUUGUGCAUGGUGCAGUCCAAAUUAAAGAGCUUGAGAACCGGGCAAGAAUUCAAGGUGAAUGGACAUCGCUUGAAGCCAUACUACGAGAACUUUGUGGAACAUGUUGUGGAGGAGAUCCCACUGCAUGCCGUGGGUUCCAAGGAGAAGUGAAGGUGUUUCAUCGUCCGGCUGGAAAGACGUUAAAGCAAGCGCUUUAAGGGAGGCAACCCAUUUAUUCUGUUUGAUUGUCUAUUUUAUUACUUGUUUAAUUAUUUUUGGUUAUGACUUUCUAUUUUGAAACAUUAACAAAUAUGCAAAGGAUUUUAACAUUAAACUUCGUGGAAAUGAACAGCAAACUGGGAAAGAAAGAAACAGACCAACACCUCUCCCUCGUGGCUGCCACAUCUGCUUGGAGAACAAAUAAGGAAUUGCAACAUCGCCAAAGAGAAAAGCUUCGCCGUACAAUUCCAAUCCAGUUCAAGUUCAAAGCUGUGGAAAGUCAACAAGAUCAACUAUCUCCAAAACCAGAUUUGCGUUCUUAAACUCUACUCUGUCUGGUUUUUACUUUGCCAUAUUUGUCAUGUUUAUUUGUCGUUUGUUAUUUGCUUGUUUUUUGGUGUGAGUAUAUGCUUGAAACAUUGAGGACAAUGUUUGAUUUAAGUGUGGGGGGGGUAACCAUUGUUUUGCAUGAAAUUCGUAGAAAUUUAUCACCCAUUAAUUCUAGUGUUGUUCCUUGUUGUUUUAAGUAUUUUUUUAAGCUGUUUUGGAGUGUUUCAGUGUGUUUUGACAUAAAAAUCCGAAAAUUCAUAAAAAUUUGAAAAAUUGUUUUUGAAAAUAAAAAAAAAAGAGUUGUUUUUGUGCGCUUAUUUGUGUCUUAGGGUACCUUCCAACACAAUGAUGAGGAUUCGGUUUGUAAUUGCAUGACUGUUAAAGAGAGUUAUAAACAUGGAUGAAAGUUUGAUUUACUCUUUAUUUAUGCGUGGUUGUGGUUAUAACUUAUGAAAUCACAUGUAAUCAUAAAAGAAAAAAAAAUUAGUUUUUGUAACAUGCUUGAAGGAAAGAACUCAAACUAACGCUACAACCUUGUGAGACUUGAGCCUAAACGUUUAUUUGGAGAGUUAAAAUCUGUGCAUUCUUGUUUUCUAAAGUCGUUGCAUGAUCUCAUUAUUCUUUGCUUGGUUAUUACUUAGAAGGCGUUUCAUCAUUUAGUUCCAAAUGCUAGAACUCAUGCCUAUUUCAUUCAAAGCAUGCUAUUGAUUUGCAUAAAACAUAUUCAAGAUGAAGUUAUGUAGUUACCACCACCAAAGCCAAACUGCCAUGUAUCCCAUAUCGUUAUAUGUUUAAGUUAACCCCAUUGAGCCUUGAUAGCCUACAUUCUUUGUUAAACCACAUUAUCCUUACCUAGCCUAGUUUAGGACCAUCCAUACCCUUGUUCUUGAAGCAUAGUAAAACAUAAUUCAAAUUGAAUUUCUUUUGAUUAAUGUAUGGCAGAAAACAAGUGUGUGGGGAAGUGUGAGUUAUUAUGCUUGUUGAAAAGAAAAGAAGAGUUGAAAAAAAAAAAAAAAAAAAAAAGAGUUGAAAAAUAUGCGAAAAAAGAGUUUUAAAGUGCUGCUUGUUGAAGAAAGGGUCCAAAACAUAGAAUUCGGCCCUAAUUAUUGCUUGAAUCUUCCCUUCGUGUUAAAAGUUGAUUACUGCAAUCUAAGUGAAUUCUAAGUUUCAAUUUCAUUACUUUACUUGCUAUUGCUUUAAGAACGAUUGUUAUCCUUAUCCUUCAUUUGUUAGCCAUCACCCCAAGCCCCGUUACAACCCUUAACUUCAUCUUGAGUGUCAUGCGUUUCAAUAUGUGGAGUUUGAAAUUGAUAUGAGCAUAUGGUGUCACUGGUUCUCGCAUCUAAGUAAUAGCAUUCCAUUCAUGAGAUCAUAUCUAAACAUGCUUAUUAACUCCAGAAAUUGCUUUCUUUGUGAUACAUAUAUGUGAGCAUUCGUUUUCAUAUCUACAUCAAUCUUCUCACAUAUAACUAGUAUAGGGUGUGUAGUUGGAAAAUCUGAGUGAAAAUUGAGUGCAUAUCUUGUAAGGAAUUGAGUGAAUUCUCUAAGGCAUGUUACUACAUCAAAAACAUUGUUUUAAUUGAUUAAUUGUGAACUAGUAAGUGGUGACUAUGAUUAAGUAUGUGCUUAAGUGUAAAGAUGACUCAAAUCUGUGGGGAUAAUGAUUUUUAACAUGUCAUGUGCAUUGGAAAUCCCUGAGGCAAAUGUUGGAAGGUUUAGGUUGUGUUUUAUUUGUUUUGUUUCGUUUUAUUUCUUUGUUUUGCUCGAGGACUAGCAAAAGCUAAGUGUGGGGGAAUUUGAUAGGAGCAUAUUUAUGCGACUUAAUUGGCUUGUUCUUGUGUGUUUACGUUGUGUUUUCUUUAGUUAUUUUAGUGUUUAAAGCCAUUUUCAUUUGUUUGUAGGUCUUAAUAACAACCUUGGCAAGAAAAGUGCAUUUUGGUGCAUGUUGGAUCAAUAUUGGGCUCAAAUGGAUUGCAUGCAUGAGGAUGGACGUUUUGGGCAUAUGUGUGUGCAAGUGUGUGUGUGUAAUUGCAAGGAUAAACAAUGACAACUCAUACACAUGCAAAGAAGCCCACUUGCAAAGUGAAAGACUCUAAGUACAAAGUAUGCAAGAAGAUGCAUUUUGGAGGCCUUUGGAGCAUGUUUCGGGCUUGGAAUGGAUAGCAAAUGCAUGGGCCAAGUGGAUGGACGAAUUUGAGAACUAAAGAGGCCAAGAAUAUGAAGAAUUAUGGUCCAAAAGAUGAAGAAAACAGCCCAAAAAUCUGUCACCCCAACUUGCAUUCCUUGCCAUGCAAACCACAUAGAAUUCCCUUUGGAUUCCAUGCCAUGCUUGAUCACUCUUGUCCCCUACAUAAUUUCUGAUUUCAUGCUUUAAUUCAUUUAAUUAUUUCACUCAAUUGCUUGAUACCUCUUGUUCCCUUCACCCAUUAGAUUUUAGACAACCUUUACAUCCAUUACAUGCACCAAUUGAUGCUCCAUCAUUCACAUUUGGAAUCCAAUGCCAUGUGCAACACAUGUUGUUGCACCUUUGACCCAUUUGUUGACACAUUUCACCUCCCUUUCCAUCUCUAUGCAAUGUACACAAUCAUUCAUGCUCCCUAGCUACAACACCACUCCAUUUUACCCUUCACACUUUGCAUCAUUACUUCAUUUUCACCCUUGGACCAUUGCACACCACACACACAAAUUGCCAUGCAUUUCAUCCUUAACCUAACCUUAUUUUCUAAGGUUUUUGGGGCCUAUAAAUACAUGUUUACACCCCUUGGCCAAAGAACAAUCCCCCAUAUUCAUCAUUUUUAUCACAGAAAUUCGUCCAUACACACCCUAGGAAGCAAAACACCCCAAAAACACCAUUCUAGUGCCUAGAAAACAUAAUCACCACUCCACCUUCUUCCACCCUCUUUGCCUAGUUCUCCACCACCUUCCAACCAUCAAACACUCUUCCACACUCACCCUAAACCCCUCCAUAUCAUUCCCCAUCCAUUCUACACCAUAAAUCCACCCAAAAAUCUGUCCACAAGCUUCAUGCCGCAACAAGGAGGAAGGAAGAUCCAUUGAUGCACUUGCUUUCCAAGUUGGAGCAUUUUAGGUGUUUUCUUACCUUUGAUUUUAAUGUCUAAUUUUAUGUAUCUUUGUAUUGCAAGAAUGAGGAACUAAACCCCCUUAGUUGGGGGGUGAUUCGAAACCAUGUACAUGCUUGCAAUAUGAUUUGAUUACAUUCAGUUGUUAUUUCAUAAGUUGCGGAUUCAAUUCGUU
RNAcentral lists this long non-coding RNA (7694 nucleotides) under Malus domestica (apple). Its description in RNAcentral is "long non-coding RNA (MDOM_LNC013595)". Lineage: Eukaryota; Viridiplantae; Streptophyta; Magnoliopsida; Rosales; Rosaceae. The record is from RNAcentral.